Molecule: long non-coding RNA, 277 nt
Organism: Cucurbita moschata (crookneck pumpkin)
Lineage: Eukaryota; Viridiplantae; Streptophyta; Magnoliopsida; Cucurbitales; Cucurbitaceae
Exons: 3
Source: RefSeq, a predicted model, not a curated record
CAUCUGAUCUCUCAUCUUUUCUCAGAUUUGAUUUGUUUACCUUCUUCUUCGAUUAAUUGAUUUUUGAGUUUUCGUUCAACUCACACGAUAUGUCUUUUGUAUUUUUUCAUGCCUGUUCGUUAAUUCGGAGAGAUUCUUAAUCGUUGCUCUUCGUUAGAAUUACGCACUUUCUUUCUGUCUUAAGAUUUGUGAUAGGGUUUUGUGGUUCGGUUGAAUGAAUCGAUGAUGCCGACAUGCUUUGUUUUGCUUCGUUCAUUUGAUUUUGUAAUUUUCUUUG